GCGACACGAACAGAUCACCUCUGACAGGUCGCGGACAGCUCACCCUCUUCCUCGCUCGCCUUCUUCCUCUCAUAUCCACCACCGUCGGCGUCUUCCUCACUGCGCCCCACCAUGUCGCUGCCGCCGCCUUGCUCCCGCACGCCCUAUAUCCCUCCUCUAUUCCACUGCCACGCUACCACCUCAGUAGGUUCCGUGGAGAAGAUGGUGAGGCCAAGGUCAGAUUUUUCUGGCCAUGGGCGGCGGAUCUGCAAGCGGCAGGGCUGGAUCCUUCGCUUCUUUUACCGGAGUGUAGCGGCAAGGACGGCGGUAGCGGCGCCCUCGAACACGAUAUUUUAGGCGCAGGCGACGAGCUUCUGGGUGGCGGAGCCGCUGGUUCUGCGUGCGCCGGUGCUACUGCAGCGGCCGGCGGCUCGAGCGUCGAGCCCGUCGCCCUGCUUCCCUCCGACAACCCCGACGCCAUAGUCCGCCUCCCCCCCGUACGGAGUUGGCGGUGGCAGUGGCAAGUCCGCAGCCGGCGGUGUGGGACCAGUUCAAGGAGGAGGGGAUCAUGGAGGGGAGCUGCGGGAGGAGGUGGAGAUCAAGAAGAGACUGCUGGUCCAUGCCCGUGAGAAUGGGAAUGGACAUGGCCAUGUCAAUGGAGGAGAAGCAGAGGAGGACAAUGGGAAGGGCCCGAGGUUGCUGAAGAGGAGCAGCAGCCGCACAAGAGUAUCUGAAGGAAGUAUGCUGUACAUGCAAGUGUUCUGAACAUGCUUCUGAAUGUUUCCAGAUUCUGAACAUGCAAGAAAAUCUGCAGGACUGCAGCCUGUCUUCCUUGAACAUGGGUGAAGCAUAUUUUUUGGAUAUACUCCCAAAAAUAUCAUUGGUGUAUUACUGAAAAGGAGAUGGUUCAUAAGGAGUACUUUGCUGCAGCACUUGUAUCAAGCUGUGUCCUACUCCAAUUUUGUGACAUUUUCUUAAUGUGGGCUAGGUGGUUAUGGCAAUGAAGACAAGGUUGCCAGGGCCUAUGAUCUGUCUGCUCUGAAAUAUUGGGGGGCCAUCGACGCACACCAAUUUCUCGAUUAGUGGAAAAUUAUCGAGAGGCGGAGGAGAUGUAAAGCAUGACAAGGCAGGAAUUCGUUGCACACUUGAGAAGUGAUCUCCUGGAGUUAGUUUCAGCAGAGAGAGGAGAUGAACCUGGGCAGCAGCCGAGCCUCAACCUGGGCGCGGGCGAGGAAGAGCCCAGCACCAGGUCGCCUCCACCUGGGCACGCGCGGGCCAGGAGGAGCCCCUGGGCAUGGAGGAGGAGCGCCUGGGCGUGCGAGCACGCGGAUGGAGGUGGACUGGAGCGCCUGGCCGGAGGCGGUGGCGGGGCGGAGGCGGAGGUGGAGGGCGGGGCAGAGAUGGGGCCGGAGGUAGAAGACUAGAACCAGGGUAUUAACGUCAUUUCACAGCUUUUCACCUGGUCGGAACAAGGUCCCCAACGACCUAUAUUUCGGAACGGAGGGAGUA
This is an RNA transcript of Aegilops tauschii subsp. strangulata, 1488 nucleotides long. RefSeq lists it as uncharacterized. The record is from RefSeq and is a predicted model, not a curated record. NCBI's taxonomy places the organism in Eukaryota, Viridiplantae, Streptophyta, Magnoliopsida, Poales, Poaceae.